AGAGUUUGAUCCUGGCUCAGAACGAACGCUGGCAGCGUGGAUUAGGCAUGCAAGUCGAACGGGAUCCGGGAGGGUAGCAAUACUCCCCGGUGAGAGUGGCGGAAGGGCGAGGAACGCAUGGGCAACCUGUCCCGAGGGCGGGGAUAACGCCGCGAAAGCGGCGCUAAUACCGGAUGUGGCGCGCGGAUCGCAUGAUCUGUCCGCCAAAGGCGGGGACCGCAAGGCCCGCCCCCUGGGGAGGGGCCCGUGUGCCAUCAGCUUGUUGGCGGGGUUACGGCCCACCAAGGCUUACGGCUAGCUGGUCUGAGAGGACGACCAGCCGCACUGGGACUGAGACACUGCCCAGACUCCUACGGGAGGCUGCAGUCGAGGAUCAUUCGCAAUGGGCGAAAGCCUGACGAUGCGACGCUGCGUGUAGGAUGAAGGCCCUCGGGUCGUAAACUACUGUCAUGGGGGGCGAGGCGGAGGCGGUGAACAGCCGCCCGAGUUGACGGUACCCCAAGAGGAAGCCACGGCUAACUCUGUGCCAGCAGCCGCGGUAAUACAGAGGUGGCGAGUGUUGUUCGGAUUUACUGGGCGUAAAGGGCGCGUAGGCGGAUCUGUAUGUCAGUAGUUAAACUAUCCCUCUUAACUUCGUAUAGCUGUUGAAUCUGUAUGUCUUGAGUAGAUGAGAGGAAAGCUAAAUUCCUUGUGUAGCGGUGAAAUGUAUAGAUUUUACAAAGAACACCAGCAGCGAAGGCCUCUUUGCUUGACUCUCACUGACGCUGAGGCACGAAAGCGUGGACAACAAACAAGACUAGAUACCCUGCUACUCCACGCAGUAAACGUAUAAAGGAGUAGGUGUCUCACCCCCCCCGUCCCGUAGCUAACGCGUUAAGUGUGCCGCCUGGGGAGUACGGCCGCAAGGCUAAAACUCAAAGAAAUUGACGGGGGCCCGCACAAGCAGAGGAGCAUGUGGCUUAAUUCGAUGCAGCGCGAAGAACCUUACCCGGGUUUGACAUGCAGCUGCACGUCCUAUGAAAGUAGGAUUCCUUCGAGGGUGCUGCACAGGUGCUGCAUGGCUGUCAUCAGUUCGUGCCGUGAGGUGUUUGGUUAAGUCCAGCAACGAACGCAACCCCUGUGUCCAGUUGCCAUCAGGUAACGCUGGGGACUCUGGACAGACCGCCCGUUCACGCGGGAGGAAGGUGGGGACGACGUCAAGUCAGUACGGCCCUUACAUCCGGGGCUGCACACGUGCUACAAUGGCCGGUACAAAGGGAAGCUAUGCCGCGAGGCGGAGCCAAUCCCCAAAACCGGCCCCAGUUCGGAUCGGGGUCUGCAACCCGACCCCGUGAAGCCGGAUUUGCUAGUAACGGCGCAUCAGCUACGGCGCCGUGAAUACGUUCCCGGGUCUUGCACACACCGCCCGUCA
Molecule: ribosomal RNA, 1411 nt
Filed under: uncultured bacterium
Lineage: Bacteria
Description: bacterial SSU rRNA
Rfam family: Bacterial small subunit ribosomal RNA
Source: RNAcentral